Molecule: unclassified non-coding RNA, 508 nt
Filed under: Bombus terrestris (buff-tailed bumblebee)
Lineage: Eukaryota; Metazoa; Arthropoda; Insecta; Hymenoptera; Apidae
Description: misc RNA ENSBTSG00005029759.1
Source: RNAcentral
UGAAAUUUUCAGACUUUAUUAGCGCUAAAACUAUCUGCCUUCGAAGUCUACCUAAACGUGUCAUACGUAGUUGAUUAGCACGAAAGCGAAAGCCUCGAAAGCGGCAUGGGUUAAGGAUACGUCGCUUCAAAAGGAAUCUCAUCAAAAUAUCUACAGACUCUGAUCGACAUUCUGCUGGCCCAGUGGAUCCACCCCGAUGCCUUUAUCAAGUGUCUACCCAACAACGCAUGCUACUCGCAAAUCUGUUCGCUCGAAAGAUUGUGUUGAUGUAAAUUAAUAAUUACAUUGGCCGCUGUUGAUGCACUUGGGGGGGGGGGGAUUUUUUAUAAGGACAAACUUUUUCGAGAAUCGUUAAAAUUCCAAAGAUAUUCAGAGAUGUUCAAACAGAUCUAUUGAGAUAAUUUUGUAUGCUACACUAGAUUAGCCGCGUAGUAGUGACGUACAUAUAUGAGUAUGAGUGUGUGGGAGUAUGUGCGUGCACAGCGUCUCGUAAAACAGAAGAAUGCAA